CUGAAAUCUGUAGGAAUGCCCAAAUUACAACACGAAAUAACAUUUGACAAAAUAUAUAAUCCUCUACGUAUACAACAGAAAUGGAGGACUCCCAAUUAGGAGAAACACGAGGAUGUCACACUACAAAUAAUGAUACACCAUAAUCAGCAAUAUUCAACAGAUGAUUCUCUGAGAAUUUCUACAAAGAAUAAUGCACAAACUCUAGUAAAUCUAACCAAAAUAAAACAACAGGAAAAUUUAAUUUCGAAUUGGAGCCCUU
This 259-nucleotide unclassified non-coding RNA is filed under the name Hevea brasiliensis (rubber tree). The record is from RNAcentral. Lineage: Eukaryota; Viridiplantae; Streptophyta; Magnoliopsida; Malpighiales; Euphorbiaceae.